Molecule: ribosomal RNA, 195 nt
Filed under: Triticum aestivum (bread wheat)
Lineage: Eukaryota; Viridiplantae; Streptophyta; Magnoliopsida; Poales; Poaceae
Description: partial small subunit ribosomal RNA
Source: RNAcentral
GUGGUGGCGGGUGAUUUCAACCUUAUCAGACAGGAAGCAGACAAAAGCUCGCAUAACAUCGAUCGGCGGCGUAUGCGCAUGUUCAAUGAUGCUAUAAUAGAGAUGUCCCUACGUGAGAUAGCCCGGGUAGGGGCUAGGUUCACAUGGACCAAUAAUCAGGUGGACCCUAUCCGGAGUGUGCUGGAUCGGGUCCUC